RNAcentral lists this ribosomal RNA (422 nucleotides) under Opheliidae sp. A ZW-2021. Its description in RNAcentral is "partial large subunit ribosomal RNA". It matches the Rfam family "Bacterial large subunit ribosomal RNA", at positions 1808 to 2541 of the family's 2925-position model. The record is from RNAcentral. Lineage: Eukaryota; Metazoa; Annelida; Polychaeta; Opheliidae.
CAAAAACAUUGCUUUUUGAAAAAAUAUACAAAGUAGUCCCUGCCCAGUGAAAAAUCAUUUUUAACGGCCGCGGUACCCUGACCGUGCAAAGGUAGCGAAAUCAUUUGCCUUUUAAUUAAAGGCCUGUAUGAAGGAACCACGAGAAAUUCCCUGUCUUUUUUUUACCCCUAAAAAUUAUACUUUAGGUGAAGAUACCUAAAUUCCCAAAAAGGACAAGAAGACCCUAAGAGCUUCUCCCCUUCGGGUUUGGUUGGGGCGACAAAGGAGCAAUUUCUAAGCCUCCUUUUUUAUCAAGGCAAAUGCCAAACAAGUGAUCCUAAAAAAGAAGGACUAAACACAAAAGCUACCUUAGGGAUAACAGGCUAAUUCUUCUUGAGAGUCCAAAUUUACAGAAGAGUUUGGCACCUCGAUGUUGGCUUAGG